AUGUACCAGACGCCGACAUACCCAGGCGGAGCGGAGGGUGCCGUUCCGUCUAGUUUGAUGGAUACGCCUCUUACGGAGGAAAGAAGGGCGGCUAGGCGAGUUCGCCGGAGGGUUUGCUCCUCUGGCUCGCCAACUUCUUUGAACCAUGGCGAGUCAGACGAUGCACAAGAAAUGAGCACAAAUUCUACCGAGAUAUCAAGCAGUGAUUGCUAUACUCAGUUGUCAAGUGAAAGUUCAGACGAAGGAUGCGAAAAUAGAAGCUCAGGCCAUCGCAGAAAACGGCGCAAGACAUCUGUGAUAUCCUCUGCAUCCGAGCAAUCAGGGCAAGACAGUCCUUCUGCAUGCGAGUCUCUUGAGUCGGAUGAUGUUCAGAUAACUCCAGGGAAAGAUUAUGUGUUACCGCAAAGGUGUGAUCUAUCUGACGCAGAAAAGAAUAGAGUAGUUGUGCUUAUCAAAGAAAUCAAAGCUAAAGUUACUGUUUUUGUGGCUAUCAUGUUGAGGUCUUACUCUUCAUAUGUGACCAUUCCUAAGGAAUAUGCUGCUGUGCACUUUCCACCUGAAAGUGCAACCAUCACGCUUCGGAGUCCAGGCAAGAACAAGAAGUGGCAUCCCAGAUUCUACAAGAAAGGAACUAUGAUCAAGCUUACGGGCAGUUGGUUACACUUUGUGCGUGACAAUGACGUGCAUGAGGGAGAUAUCUGCAUUUUUGUACCGGCAAAAGGUGGAAAACCAUUCAUGUUUACAGUCCAUCUACUUCGCAAAGAAACAACUGAUUCUCAAACUGAAGUUUCUCAUGAAUCUUCGGAGUGUGAGGACUCUCAUGGUCAGCCGCCCUACAUUUUACCAUAUGGAGCCCGUCUAUCUCCCUCUCAGAGGAGUGCCGUUAAAAAGAAAGUGGACUCCAUCCAAUCUGAAGUUCCAAUUUACGUGUCAAUCAUGACAAAGAGCAACCUUGGUUCCAGACACAUGGAAUUGAGUAAACGAUAUGCCGCUGAACAUCUCCCCCACAGAAAUGUAACUUUGAUGUUCCAGUACAUGGGAAAGAUAUGGAAUAUCAAUAUGUUGUUUCAUGAUCGGAAGUACCCCAAAAGGUGGUACCUUAUCGGAGGUUGGUCCAAAUUUAUCUCUGACAACAGUCUGCGAUUAGGAGAUAUCUGUCUCUUUGAACUGAAAAAGGACGAGAAGGAGCUUACCGUGAUAGUCCAUCUACUUCGCAAAGAGAGUAUUGAUCACCCCUCCGGUGUAAGUCCUGUUCUGGACUCGAAUUAUGUGAGGGCAAGCACAAUGAUUGCCUCAACAGUGCGUGUUGGGGAGGAGCCAGAUGACGAAGAAGAAACUGCCUCUUCAGGGCGUGAAGAACAAGGAUUCGAUGACGAGCCUAUCGAGCAUAACUAUUCUGAGGGAGCCUCUAAGGCACACAUGCCUACUGCUCCAUGCUCAGAGAGUAACGUGUCUGGAAUCAGCCUGUCACCGGAAGCUAGAGAGCAAGCUGCUGGUUGUUCAAACAAAAGUUUUGCAACAGAAUUUCCAAAUAAGCCUAGCUCCACUAUGGAACACAACAGGAUUAUCCACACUGACAGAGCGGCAGCAUCAGAAGUUAUUGGUUUGUCAGACUACAGGAUCCACAACAGUUGUGAUAGUAUUGAUUCACAAGGAGGAGAGUCUCUUGCUGUUCAACAGCAAUCGAGUCCUAGUCCUGGAAUUGGCAAUUCAGUUAAUCUGGAUUCUUCAAGUUGUGACCAUAGAAGCGCUGAACAUGUGGAGGGAGAGAGUGAUGUUGCUUUACAGUCAUCAGUAAGAGUUACAGGCCAGCAGGUAGGCGAUGCUGAAAAGGAAGUUAAUGCCAGCGGUGGAGAAAAUACUCUUGCAGAUCUACCUCAUUUAGAGCCUCAAAAUGUGGCAGCUGUGCCCACCCAGGCUGCAUUGCCCAUGCCUAAGGAAAAAACUGAUACUCAGACAAAUCGAUCUGCCCAAUCAGAUGUAGCGCAAGCACAACCUCCACAAGGAGAGGUAGAGCAAGCAGGUCUGUCUGGUGUGGCAACGCCUCAGCCUUUACAACCUGAAAUGCAAGCAUCAUUGUCUAGGGAAGUUGAAGCUCCGGCGAAUGUUGUAAUUCAGUCUGCUCAGCCUUUGGUGCUUGAAAUGCAGCCAUCAACCCCAUUGUCAAAUAUUCCGCUCGAAAGAACACACCCAAAUCGGGGUCAAUCAAGUCGUCAACCAGAGGCCGCAGCUGGUUCUGCCCAGCCUGCACAACUCUUUCCGGCGCCGUCGAUGAUGUUUAAUCACCCACCAAUUGGUGAUGAACCACUGAAAAAUGAGCUGCACAGGUUACGGUUACACAUUGACUCACUUGAUAAAAUCUAUGAAUUAAAGCAAUCACAACUUCAGACAGAGUGCAGCCAAGAAAUUGAGAAGAUAAAACAAAAGUAUGAUUUGUUACUUGAGGAACGGGAUUCUGUUCACCUUGAGCAAAUGAAGACACUUGAUGGUUUAUUGGAGAAAGUUGUCUUCCACCAAUCACUAGCUGCCGAUUUCCGAGCCAAAUUCAUAUCAUCAUCUGCAGCACAAGCAAAAGCCUAUAGCCGUCCAAUCCAUCAGACACCUCAGGCUUCUCAGCAAGCACCCAUGAGGCCGCCAGGUGUGACAUCGACUUCGCCGCCAGCUGCGUGGUCAUCAGCUGGUCGACCAGUAGUGCCGGGAGGUGCACAGCCAUCACAGGUGGAUCGACCAUCAACACCAGCAUCAUCACAGGCGCCUCGUCCGCCAUUGCCAUUUCCACAAGUGGUCCGGCCUCCCAUAAACCCUGGCAACCUUGUCAGAACAACAGGAGCUCCUACAAGUCACAUGCCUCGAGGUCCACCACGUGGAGGCCAUGGAGUUCCGAGCGCACCCGCUCCUCAUCUUCAGCGCAGAUUGCCGCCAUGGGCGCAUUCCACGUCCCCUGCAAAUCAGAGGCAGCAGCAGCAGCAUGCCACAUCUGUAAGCUCGCAGUCUUCACAUGCAGUCCCCCCUGUGAGCUCAUCACCCUUGCCGCCGUCAAGGUCACAAGCAACUCACCAUGGUUCGUCCACUCGGAUGGAUGUGGAUGUGGUAUGCCUGUCUGAUGAUGAGUGA
RNAcentral lists this ribosomal RNA (3114 nucleotides) under Triticum aestivum (bread wheat). RNAcentral's name for it is "partial small subunit ribosomal RNA". The record is from RNAcentral. Lineage: Eukaryota; Viridiplantae; Streptophyta; Magnoliopsida; Poales; Poaceae.